Molecule: ribosomal RNA, 497 nt
Filed under: uncultured bacterium
Lineage: Bacteria
Description: partial 16S ribosomal RNA
Rfam family: Bacterial small subunit ribosomal RNA
Source: RNAcentral
GAUGAACGCUGGCGGCGUGCCUAAUACAUGCAAGUCGAGCGAACAGACGAGGAGCUUGCUCCUCUGACGUUAGCGGCGGACGGGUGAGUAACACGUGGAUAACCUACCUAUAAGACUGGGAUAACUUCGGGAAACCGGAGCUAAUACCGGAUAAUAUAUUGAACCGCAUGGUUCAAUAGUGAAAGACGGUUUUGCUGUCACUUAUAGAUGGAUCCGCGCCGCAUUAGCUAGUUGGUAAGGUAACGGCUUACCAAGGCAACGAUGCGUAGCCGACCUGAGAGGGGGAUCGGCCACACUGGAACUGAGACACGGUCCAGACUCCUACGGGAGGCAGCAGUAGGGAAUCUUCCGCAAUGGGCGAAAGCCUGACGGAGCAACGCCGCGUGAGUGAUGAAGGCCUUCGGAUCGUAAAACUCUGUUAUUAGGGAAGAACAAAUGUGUAAGUAACUAUGCACGUCUUGACGGUACCUAAUCAGAAAGCCACGGCUAACUACGUG